RNAcentral lists this ribosomal RNA (565 nucleotides) under uncultured Glomeromycotina. Its description in RNAcentral is "SSU rRNA". It matches the Rfam family "Eukaryotic small subunit ribosomal RNA", at positions 548 to 1114 of the family's 1831-position model. Lineage: Eukaryota; Fungi; Glomeromycota. The record is from RNAcentral.
UUGGAGGGCAAGUCUGGUGCCAGCAGCCGCGGUAAUUCCAGCUCCAAUAGCGUAUAUUAAAGUUGUUGCAGUUAAAAAGCUCGUAGUUGAAUUUCGGGGUCAGUAGUUUGGUCAUGCCACUGGUAUGUACUGGUCUCACUGAUUCCUCCUUCCUGAUGAGCCGUAAUGCCAUUAAUUUGGUGUUGCGAGGAAUCUGGACUGUUACUUUGAAAAAAUUAGAGUGUUUAAAGCAAGCUAACGCUUGAAUACAUUAGCAUGGAAUAAUGAAAUAGGACGUUCGAUCCUAUUUUGUUGGUUUCUAGGAUUGACGUAAUGAUUAAUAGGGAUAGUUGGGGGCAUUAGUAUUCAAUUGUCAGAGGUGAAAUUCUUGGAUUUAUUGAAGACUAACUACUGCGAAAGCAUUUGCCAAGGGUGUUUUCAUUAAUCAAGAACGAAAGUUAGGGGAUCGAAGACGAUCAGAUACCGUCGUAGUCUUAACCAUAAACCAUGCCGACUAGGGAUCGGAUGAUGUUAAUUUUUUAAUGACUCAUUCGGCGCCUUACGGGAAACCAAAGUGUUUGGGUUC